Molecule: long non-coding RNA, 438 nt
Organism: Lytechinus variegatus (green sea urchin)
Lineage: Eukaryota; Metazoa; Echinodermata; Echinoidea; Temnopleuroida; Toxopneustidae
Exons: 3
Source: RefSeq, a predicted model, not a curated record
AGCGCUCUUGGAAGGAGUACAUCACUAGCACACAGUCCACAGCAUUUUCAAGAGGCAGAUGAUCAGCAACUGUAAAACAGGACUCUAGAGCAAGCACAGAGUGCUAUCCACAAGGGCAAACUCAUUCAUCUGGCAGAAGUGACUCAACAGGAAGGAUGGAAUAUUGAGCUAGAUUAUAAAGAUGUCAUCGUCAUGAUGGAGGAUGAACUUGACAGUCUCGGGUCAAAGGUCAAGAAAAUGCCCAGAAAUAUACUGCCAGAACAAGUGCUAUAAUAACAAGAGAGAGUGCUAGGAGAGGGACAGAUGGAUUCAGAAACAACUCUUCCCCGGAGGCUAAGGAGACGGUGAAGGCUGUGAAAGCACUGGUUGAACGUAAGUCAAGAGCAUGCUUCCUGCUAUACAGCCAGUAGACUUGAUUACCCUGCAUUAAUCUUAACU